RNAcentral lists this ribosomal RNA (253 nucleotides) under uncultured bacterium. Its description in RNAcentral is "partial 16S ribosomal RNA". It matches the Rfam family "Bacterial small subunit ribosomal RNA", at positions 524 to 776 of the family's 1533-position model. The record is from RNAcentral.
UACGUAGGGUGCAAGCGUUGUCCGGAAUUAUUGGGCGUAAAGAGCUCGUAGGCGGUCUGUCGCGUCGGAUGUGAAAAUCCAGGGCUCAACCCUGGACCUGCAUUCGAUACGGGCAGACUAGAGUUCGGUAGGGGAGACUGGAAUUCCUGGUGUAGCGGUGAAAUGCGCAGAUAUCAGGAGGAACACCGGUGGCGAAGGCGGGUCUCUGGGCCGAAACUGACGCUGAGGAGCGAAAGCGUGGGGAGCAAAAAGG